GUUAUUUGGAUAUUUUUAAGUUUGUAUACAUCAAAACCAACCAUCUAAACUCUAUAGGACCCAACUCAAAACUCACACAUAAAAGUUUAAUAUCCAAGCGGGGCCUAAUUAUAAAAUCCCAAAAAAAAAUUUGAUACCCGAAAGAAACAACCCGUACCUGAAUGUCUAUGCCUAACUAAUUCUGUAACCAAAUAAAAAAAUUCUUUCUAUGUGUUUGGGUAAAUUAAGUAAAAUAGAAAGCUCUUUAAUUUAGUAAAAAAGUUAUAUGGUGUGAAAAAUUAAGUGACAAUAUAUGUAAUGUGUUUUUAUUAUUUUGAUUUAAGUUAUUAUUUUGUUCAUAUUAACUAUGUCUUUGAAUUAUGUGUUUGGCUACGUAAUUUCUAACCAUAUGCAAAACCCGGUUGUUUUACAUGAUUUUUAUAAUUGGUACAAAGUUAAUUUUGAUUAAAAAUAAAAAUCUUCAAUAUUAUUAUUAUGGUUAUGCAACUAAUGAUGUAAUGUAUUAUUAAUGUAAUAUAAUUAAUGAAGCUGUUAAAUUGAGUGAAAAUGGAAUGAUAAUUAAUGUAUUAACUUGUUGGAAAAAAGUUAGUUCUAUUUGUACUUCAGUUUUAAUAACAUACUAGAGAUUGACCCGCACACCCCCGCACAUGUAUUGCUUCUUACAUUUUUAUACAUUUAUGUUUGUUUUUCAUAAUUAGUGCUAUAUAUUUUAGAUGGGUCGUAAUAUAACUAAUUGCAUUCAAAAGACAUGGACCAAAUCGGAUAAUAUUAUUAUUUUUGGUACAAAUAUCCUAACCUAUUUCAGAUACAUUUGUUAUUUAUAUAUUUUUAGGUUCCUAUACAUCAUAACCGAACUCAUCCAGACCCAGAAGGACCCAACUCAAAACUCACACUUAAAUUUAUAAUAUUCAAGUGGGGUCUAAUUUAUAAAAAAAACAAUACCUGAAAAUAACAACCCGUAUCUAAAUGGAUAGCCAAUGUUCAUGCCUAACUAAUUUUAUAAACUAAUAAACAUGACUCUUUCUAUGUCUUUGGCUAAAUUAAUUGAAAUAAAAAGAUUUUUUUUAUUUAGUAAAAUAAUUAUAUAGAGUGGAAAAUUAAGGGACAAUAAAUGUAAUACAUUUUUAUUAUUUUAAUUUAAGUUAUUAUUUUAUUCACAAAAAAAAUAUAUUUGAAUUAUGUUUUUGGCAAACUUAGAGUUUUAAGUGAUUUAUAUUAAAAUGACAAAUCUACUAUUACUCAAACAUGAAUUUUGAAACUCAUUUAAAAUCUACUAUUAUUGAACUUAGCAUUUCGUAGAGUACUCUAAAAUUCACUGUUAUUAAAAAUAUUUUAAAUUGUGGAGUUUUAAAGUUUUGAGGUGAUUUUAGGGUGUUUGGGUGGAGUUUCAUAGUUAAAAAAAAAAAAUCCAAAUCCCAUAGUUUUAGGUUAUAUUCAAGAGGGGUUAAACAAAAAUCACAUAAAUCUCUGCAAUUUAUUGAAAUCAUCUAAAACUCCAUUAAAAGUUAAAUCACCUUAUUAAAUCACCUUUAUCACAUUUGAGGUGAUUUAACUUUUAACGGAGUUUUAGAUGAUUUCGAUAAGUUGCAGAGAUUUAUGUGAUUUUUGUUAAACCACUCUAGAAUAUAUAACCUAAAAACCAUAGAAUUUGGGUUUUAUUUUUUUUUAACUAAAAAACUCCACCCAAAUACCCUAAAAUCACCUCAAAACUUUACAACUCAUCAACUUCAAAUAUUUUCAAUAACAGUGGAUUUUAGAGUAUUCUACAAAAUGUUAAGUUCAAUGACAGUUGAUUUUAAAUAAUUUUUAAAAUUCAUGUUUGAAUAACAGAGAAUUUAUCAUUUUAAUACAAAUCACCUAAAACUUUCAGUCGAAUACAAUACACCCCCUAAAUAAUUUUUGUAAUCACGAGUUCCGCAUGGACGAUGUCAUGAUAGUGACAUGGAAUAUUUGAGUGAUCCUUACUUAUUUUGAGUGGGCUCAACAAGGUCACGUUUUUAAAUUAAAGCUAUAACAUUACGUAGCUGUAUAUUACUAAUAAUAUACAUAAAAUCCUAUCUAUCUUAUUAAAAGAAAAAGAAAAGGAACCUUUGAAACUAAUUUUAGUUUUAUGUGAGAUAUUACAAAAUAUACUAUUUAAAUUUGUAAUUUUUGUAUUAUUUCAUUAACGAUACUUUUGUAAUGAAAUGUUAGACUAGAAAAUACGAAAUACAAAUUAAUAAAUAAAUAUUAGGUUAUUAAAAUUUCCCAAUUUUGAUUCAAAGGAAUGUAUUUAAUAAAUUAUAUAAUAAAUAUAUUUUUUUUUGACAGCAAAGAAUUUACAGACUCAUAUUAACUCCGACAAUAAAUAUUUAUUAAUCACUAAAAAAUAUAAACGGCCAUGUAACAGUCUUCAUACGACCCAUCUGCUUUUUUUUAUCAAAGGAGUCAUCUGCUAACAACCUUUUCAUGAUCCUAAUACUAUAUAAUCAUAUCUAACCUAUAUUAAAAGGGAUAUAUGAGGAGUAGGGAGGCUGUCCACGUCCUCAUUUAAAAUCAGCCAAUAGGGUGUCUGAAAUUUGCCAUGUCACACUGCUGCUGAGUUAGAUUGGGCUUCUGUGGGUUUUCUUAAAUUUUCAUCCGGUCCAACUAAACUCAUGCCCACAAAUAUGUAUCAUCUUCAAGCGUCGAGGGUCUCUGUCCCCGACUCUUCCACUUCAUCUUCUCUAAUAUCUGAUUUUUUUUCCUAUACCUUCUCAAUCAAUGAUAAUCUUAAAGCUAUUCUUGAAUGUUUUGUUUCACCUCCACUCGAUACUUGAUACUUCUCCUAUAUAAAGCUCUGUCUCUAGACCCUAAAUCUAUCCUAAAUUAAAAAAAAAAAACUAUUUUGGCGGAAGCUACAUCCAUGGCCAUGAAAUACCACCGCCAAAAUUCAGCUAUCCACCAACAAAUCUCCAAUCGUCGCGGGCUUCUGCUGAAACCACUUGCAUGAGGACUGCCAGAAUUUGUUGAGGACAGAGGCGGAAGCCCGUGUGGUCAAUGGAACCGGAGCUGAGCUUGAUCAGGUAAGGUCGGAUGUCUAGAGGCUAGCUGAAGAUAUACCGAAGCUAUCGGCGGCGACAACUGAGCUUACGGCGAGAUAGCCAAGGCUAAAGCCUUUUCCUUUGCUACGUCACCUUCUGAGAUAAAUUGUUUCGACAAACCUAUUUGGCUUCAAGCUUCGAAAGUAUCAUCUCCCGCACCCAGACUCUUCCACUUCAUCUUCUCUAUGUCUGAUUUUUUUCAGUUACCUUCUCUCAAUCAAUGAUCAGUGAUGAUCUUAAUGUUUCGUUAUACCUACCCUAGACCCUUCUCCUAUAUAAAUCACUACAAUCUACGCCUAAAUCCACCCUAAAUUAUAAACCUACUAUGUAGCAGCUGUAUCCAUAGCCAUGAAAUCGAUCGGAAAAUCGCAGCUCUCCACAAAAUCAACGCUUCCCCUACAGGUAUGGAUCUCCUUGGCCGUAUGUUUUCGUAUUUAGCUGUCACUGCUAUCACAAAGAUUGAAAAUUUAUUUUCUCUGUAGAUUAUUUUCAUCGAUGUGUAAUUUGAAAGUUACUCAUACUUUUCUCAGUUUUGCAAUCUUACAAGGAAUCUCAAGAGCCGGCAGAUAACUCAAGUGUAAGCUUAUUAAUGUCUUCUUAUUUGUGACAACUUUCAGCGAGCAUACUUUAGAUUCCUAACUAAUUAAAAAAAGGCAUUACUCUGUUUGAUGUGUGUUUUGCUUAUCUGCUUCGGCUAUGGUUUUAUGACGAUGUUUCAGGAAGUACGGAAAUGCAAAUGCCUGGACCUUUCGAUUAUCUUACUCUUACUGCCCUCAUCGAGUGUAAGGUUUGUGCUCUUCUUUCAAGCUGGUAUUUCAGACAUAUUUUUCAACGACACCAUUUUACUUCAUCAGUGAUUAUCAAUUACAGGUUUUCUGUUUGCAUUGAGGGCUUUCACUUUCUCCGAAUACACUUGAUAAUAUCCGGAUCUUGGAUUAGCUACAUGAGGUAUUAUCUUCUCCUUUUUUCUGCCCAAGUCCUUAGUUCGGAUUGGAUUUGAAGAGUUAUGAGUUGUUUAUGGGUCUCUUUCUCCUUCCACUCUCUUAAGGUUCAAGUGCUAACUUCCAAAUUAGUAUUAGGUUGUUUUCUGAAAGAGCAAAAGAAUAUCUUACUGGUCAUCUGUUUGAACUAUGUCUUGGUGCCACACUAAGGACCAAUGUGUGAUUUACUUUGGGAUGAUCCCCAUGAUGAUGUGGAUUAUCUCUUCGAGCUGGUUAUACAUUUGGACAGCUCAAUUCAAUGACAACAAUGGACUCAAUAUCAUAUUAAGAGCCCAUCAGCUUAGCUUUUAACUGGUGGCAGGUGUGUAUGUUCAUUUCAAUUGCUCAAGACUCUAACGAAGGAAAAAAUGUGGUGAUGGUGUCGCACCAAACUAUUGCUUCUGGUGGGGAAAUAUUGCAGCGAUUGUAGAAAUAAGAGAGGAUUAAAAUUUCCUCCAGUUUAAUCCAGCCGAAAGACCACCCAAUGCUAAAACCUAUACAAUGGCAUCUGGUAUGUUUCUAACCUCGACAGUCUCCAAGUCCAAGCGAACCUGCAGGUUCUUUAAGAGGAUCACAAGACUGAAUUAUAAACAAUAGGAAACCCUGAAGAAGCUACCUCAACAACUUCCACCUCUUGAAAUUGGAUUAAAUGUAGGGAAUUCUCUUUUGCAAUUUGAUUAUUUGGCCACAACAUCUGAAGCAUAAGGCAAAGUUGUGACAUGUGCAGGUAUAUUGCUUCUAUACAUUGACCCGCUCUCGCAAGGUUUCCUUUAAAAUAAUAUUGAAGAACUAUUAUUUCGAGUUACAAUAUAUUGUACUUCAAGUGUUAUAAUAAUUUUUUGAUGAAAUACCAUUUCCAGUAAUGUAAUCUAUGUUUUCAUAAUUAUUUUCUUUUUUGCACUCUCAUAAUUUAAUUUUAAUUUUAUUAUUUUAAUUAAUUUUAUAAGUUACAAUAUAGAUGCUUGUAUAUUCAAAAUAACGUAAUUGGCAAUUUAAAAUAACGUAUACAAUACUACAAUUUAAAAUAAGAAUACAUAUUGUAUAAAGUAUUACAAUCGGAACUAACUUUAUAAUAGUUGAGUUUAGGUGGCAAUGAGUUUCAAAUAGUUUCAGCUGACUAAGAUGUGCUUUCACGUGGUCUAGAAACCACAGAAACUUCACACUAGGGCGAUUUUAAACUUUGUUGUAUUUUUGUUAUUGAGAACUAUAUCUACAUAUAACAUGAUGAUGGAUAAGCUGAAUAAAAAAUAAAUGAAUCUUAGUUAUCAUAUAUAUAUAUAUAUAUAUAUAUUAUCUUUCUUACUAGAUGUUUAUGUAAAAACAUAUGUUAAAUGUAGAACUGAUUUAAACUUUGUUUCAGUUUUAAAAUCACUAAUUUCUCUUUCUAUUGUCCUAUAUGUCUUUAAAACGAAAUACAAACUAACUUAUACGCAUGCUUUUUACUUGGUUUAUUUCAACCAAUUGAUUAGGUUCUUCGAUCUAACAAAAAUGUAUGUUUAUGGCAUUUUGGUUUGAUACAUAUAGUUUGACAAAAUAAACCAAAAAUUCCUAGCUAGACUGUUACAAUAAAAAAUAAUUAGACCAAAACUUUGGCUUAAUAUAGAUACAAAAAUUCUCUUACAGUUAGUGAAGACAAAGUUUUAAUGAAGGAACUUUUCACAUAUUUAAAUUGUGCCACUAUUUAUAUGGGAUGAAGUAGAAACUUCUUUCUAACAAUUAUCAAAACAAUUUCGUAAAAUUUUUUUUAUCAAAAGCAAUGAUCCUAAAAUAUAUAAAUGUAAAAAAAAUGAUUUCAUUAAGCAUGAAAGUUAUAUUUUGAUAUUUAAUAAAAAUAAAAUAAAAUAUUAAUGUUUGCCUCAACAUCAUCCAAAAUAUUCUACAACAACUUCAUAAACAUUAUUCAAAGCUUCAAAGAAAACUUACAGAAUAUAUAGAAUACCAAAAACGUCAAACUACAUUACUCAUUCAUGUUUACGGUGUUAGACAUGUUAACUUUUUCAAAAUUUAUGAACCUAAUUUAUACUAUAAAGUUGUGAAGAAGAAAGUGAAAAAUCAAAAUCGAUACUAUUAGUUUUCAGAAAAAAUAUACAAAUAUUCAGUAAAACUGAUAAAUUACAAUCACUAAAGAUUUUUUUUUUUAAAAUAAAUACAAAUAACAAAAUCACCUAUUACUUACAAAUAAAAAGUAAUAAAAUUAAACACAUUUUCAAUAAAAUUAAACACAUUUUCCGCGCGUAGCGCGGACACGGCUCUAGUUUAAUUAAUACUAGAUUACGAUCAGCUCGAUAGUGUGAAUUUUAUUUUAAAUUAGUUAACUAAAUUUUCUAAAUUAAUCGAAUGUUGUUUAAUGUUAAAAGAAAAUUUAGUUGUAUAAUAUUUAUUUUAUGUGGUUCAAUUAACACUAUUAUAAUUAUUUUGUGUAAAUAUGUUGCUAAUAAUUUGGUUGAUACUAUAAUCAGUUAAAUUUGUUGUUUAUGAUUAGUGUUAAGCAUUAAUCUUUAGAUAUAAUACAUUUUGAAUAUUUUCAUAAUUAUUUUUGUUAUUAUAUUUAUCAUACAAUAUAGUUAUUUUCAAUGUAUGAUGUUUAUAUAUAUAUGGGAAAUUACCAAAAAAUACUAUUGUAACAUUCCGAGUGUUGAUAUAUGGAAAGAUUUAGGAUGAUUAAUUUGGCUAUCUAUGUCACCGAAGUUGACUUACCUUUUCCGUCAUACAUCCAUUUAGAACUCUAGAGUUAAGUGUACUUGAGCUAAAGUAGUGGAAGGAUGUGUGACCCAUCAGGAAGUGAUUCGCAAUAUCGUGUGAGUGAGGUCAAAGCACGCAGAAAGGUCAUGUGGUAAUUGCAUGGUCAGUAAACAAGAUUUUCGGGCCAUGGAAAAUUAACGCACCGCCUGUCAGAAGGGAUGAGACCAUGGGCCGAGUGAGUGGGAGUGGGUGGUCCAUUAGCCGUGAACGGUCGGAACGUUACAACUACGUUCAUAAUACCAUUUUCAUGUUUACCUUAACCAUCUUUACCUUCACUUUCAAAGAGGAAAAAAACACUUAUAAUCCUAGGGUAAACUAAUCAAGACUUUAGAUUCAAAGUUGGAGUAAUUUCAUAUUUACCACUUUCAUGCUACCAUUAUUCUUUUUUACCACCAUUAAAGAAACAUUUUCAAAAAUAUCUUCUUCAUAAAGUGGCAAAACACUCUUAUAUCAUUGCUCUCUAUAUAUAUAAUAAAUAAUCAUUUAAAUAAAAAAAUUUAUGUUUUUGAAUUCUGCUUUUUCCAAUUCGAACUUUAAAAAAAAAUUUGAAAAAAAAAUUUGAACUUUUUUUUCCAAAUAUUUUUUUUUUGAAAAUCAAAAAUUAUUUUUGAAACUAUUUUUAAAAUUUUUUUAUAUUUUUUAAGUAUUUAUAAAUUUAUUAGAAUCCUAAAUUUCACAUUCUAAAAAUCUUAUUACAUUCUUCGACUCUAAACUCUAAGUCUAGAUUAGUUAACCCUAGGGUAUAAAUGAAUUUUACCCUUAAUUAAAAGUAACGAUAAAAAUGAUUAGUGUAAACAUGAAAAGUAGUACUAUGAAUGUGAUAUUUGUGGCAAUGUUCCUUUAAAGUUGAGGGGUGUGGCAGAGUUUUUGGAAUAUAGAAUUUAAGAUUCUAAUAAAUAUAUAAAUAAAUACUUAAAAACUAAUAAGUUUUUUUCUUAAAUGGUUUCAAAAAUAAUUUUCGAACUUCAAAAAUAAAAUUAAAAAAAUCCAAAAAGAAAUUUAUAACAAAGUUCGAAUUUGAAAAAAUAUAAUUCGGAAACAUAAUAAAAUUUUACUUUUUUAUUUAAAUAAUUAUUUAUUAUAUAUAUAUAGCAAGUGUAUAAAUGUCUUUUACUUCUUAAUGAGUAAAAUAUUUUUGAAAAUAUCUCUUUAGUGAAUGUAAACAUAAAUAAUAGUACCAACAACGUGGUAAAUAUGAAAAAUUCCCUUACAUAUAUAUAUGUAAUAGCUAUUAUUGAAUUAUUAUGUUACUUAACUAAAUAUGAUUACAUUUAUGUUAUGACAUUUUUAAAAUAUAUAAAGGUAAUAUAGUAUUUAAGGAUACUUUUUUGACUUUUAAAAUUUUUGAAUUUUAAAUCUAAUAAUUAUAUUUCGACUUUAAAUAUUAAAACUUCUAUUUUAUGUCAAUAUACAUAAAUUUGGAAAGCUGGCCAAACAAAAGCUGACAAAAAAAUCAUAAAUUUGGAAAUCAUAUAUUUUAUUAGCCUACUUUAUUAGAUAAUAUUUAUUUUUUUGAUAAAAUAUUUUUUUGCAAACAUUAACAUAUUUUUAAAAAUGAUUUAUCAUAAACGAUUUUAGGAAAUAUUGGCAUUUUCGAAAAUAGCAAACUUAUUAAUUAUUCUUUUGGUUAUUUAUUUUUUUAAUUUUCGAAAAAAUAAUUAAACAUUUUGUUAACUUAAUAUAGUAUUUAUAUUUUUAUUGAUUUACCUUAUUUGAUAUUGAUUUAUAUUUUAGUUUGAAAUAAAUGAUUUUUUUUUGUAAUAUUAACAUUUUUCAAAAUAGUAAACUUAAAUAAUGAUUUGUCAUACUACGAUUGAUCGUUUAACAUCCUACGUGGACACCCUCAAUGGCUUAUAGCCUCAACUUUUAUAUAGUAUAGAUUGAUUGGUUGUUCCAUUGACAAGAACUCAAAUAUAUUUACAAAGAAUUUUUUAUUUGUUUACAGAAUCAGAUAUGCAUGUAUAUUUAGGUAUUUGUUCAGAUAGGAAUCAGUUCUUUCAGGUAUAAGAAUUUUUUGGUUUUAAAUUAGAUUCUGUUUAAAAAUACUAUAAAUUUAUGGGCGGAAUUCGAGUAGGAUGAAUUCAGUUAUAAUGUGUUAGAACCUAAAAUUAUCCAAAUGACAUAUAUAUUUUAUAAAUGUCAUUAAACAAUUUAUAAAAAAGGGUAAAACACAACAUCUGCAUUGGUGCAUGUAUCAAGCUCUAAUUGUUUUUAUUACAACACACGGGCUUUGAGGCUCAAAGAGAAGAAAAAAUGGGCAGGCCAGGUAAUGUAGUUCCAGAGUCAAGAAUGUAUAUAUUUCCUGAGACAUAUCGAGAAGAGUCAUGAAUGAGAUAGCGAACCAGCGAGGUAAUUCCCGGAUCCACGGUCUGUUGCACCUUUAACGGUAUAAUCCUAUCGGUCACGUUCUUUAGCCAUUCUUUUUGCAUAAGACCUUGCGUGAUCU
Brassica rapa (field mustard) is the source of this 9230-nucleotide long non-coding RNA. RefSeq lists it as uncharacterized. NCBI's taxonomy places the organism in Eukaryota, Viridiplantae, Streptophyta, Magnoliopsida, Brassicales, Brassicaceae. The record is from RefSeq and is a predicted model, not a curated record.